CUUGACAUCCAGAGAAUUUAGCAGAGAUGCUUUUAGUGCCUUCGGGAACUCUGAGACAGGUGCUGCAUGGCUGUCGUCAGCUCGUGUUGUGAAAUGUUGGGUUAAGUCCGCAACGAGCGCAACCCUUAUCCUUUGUUGCCAGCACGUAAUGGUGGGAACUCAAAGGAGACUGCCGGUGAUAAACCGGAGGAAGGUGGGGAUGACGUCAAGUCAUCAUGGCCCUUACGAGUAGGGCUACACACGUGCUACAAUGGCGUAUACAAAGAGAAGCGACCUCGCGAGAGCAAGCGGACCUCAUAAAGUGCGUCGUAGUCCGGAUUGGAGUCUGCAACUCGACUCCAUGAAGUCGGAAUCGCUAGUAAUCGUAAAUCAGAAUGUUACGGUGAAUACGUUCCCGGGCCUUGUACACACCGCCCGUCACACCAUGGGAGUGGGUUGCAAAAGAAGUAGAUAGCUUAACCUUCGGGAGGGCGUUUACCACUUUGUGAUUCAUGACUGGGGUGAAGUCGUAACAAGGUAAGCGUAGUGCU
This 530-nucleotide ribosomal RNA is filed under the name uncultured bacterium. Its description in RNAcentral is "bacterial SSU rRNA". It matches the Rfam family "Bacterial small subunit ribosomal RNA", at positions 980 to 1509 of the family's 1533-position model. The record is from RNAcentral.